This 253-nucleotide ribosomal RNA is filed under the name uncultured bacterium. RNAcentral describes it as "partial 16S ribosomal RNA". It matches the Rfam family "Bacterial small subunit ribosomal RNA", at positions 524 to 776 of the family's 1533-position model. The record is from RNAcentral.
UACGGGGGGGGCAAGCGUUGUUCGGAAUUACUGGGCGUAAAGGGCUCGUAGGCGGCCAACUAAGUCAGACGUGAAAUCCCUCGGCUUAACCGGGGAACUGCAUCUGAUACUGGAUGGCUUGAGUUCGGGAGAGGGAUGCGGAAUUCCAGGUGUAGCGGUGAAAUGCGUAGAUAUUAGGAAGAACACCAGUGGCGAAGGCGGCUCACUGGCUCGGUACUGACGCUGAGGUGCGAAAGCGUGGGGAGCAAACAGG